Molecule: ribosomal RNA, 724 nt
Filed under: uncultured Bacilli bacterium
Lineage: Bacteria; Bacillati; Bacillota; Bacilli
Description: bacterial SSU rRNA
Rfam family: Bacterial small subunit ribosomal RNA
Source: RNAcentral
CAAGUCGAACGCUUUUUCUUUCACCGGAGCUUGCUCCACCGAAAGAAAAGGAGUGGCGAACGGGUGAGUAACACGUGGGUAACCUGCCCAUCAGAAGGGGAUAACACUUGGAAACAGGUGCUAAUACCGUAUAACAAUCGAAACCGCAUGGUUUCGGUUUGAAAGGCGCUUUUGCGUCACUGAUGGAUGGACCCGCGGUGCAUUAGCUAGUUGGUGAGGUAACGGCUCACCAAGGCAACGAUGCAUAGCCGACCUGAGAGGGUGAUCGGCCACAUUGGGACUGAGACACGGCCCAAACUCCUACGGGAGGCAGCAGUAGGGAAUCUUCGGCAAUGGACGGAAGUCUGACCGAGCAACGCCGCGUGAGUGAAGAAGGUUUUCGGAUCGUAAAACUCUGUUGUUAGAGAAGAACAAGGAUGAGAGUAGAAUGUUCAUCCCUUGACGGUAUCUAACCAGAAAGCCACGGCUAACUACGUGCCAGCAGCCGCGGUAAUACGUAGGUGGCAAGCGUUGUCCGGAUUUAUUGGGCGUAAAGCGAGCGCAGGCGGUUUCUUAAGUCUGAUGUGAAAGCCCCCGGCUCAACCGGGGAGGGUCAUUGGAAACUGGGAAACUUGAGUGCAGAAGAGGAGAGUGGAAUUCCAUGUGUAGCGGUGAAAUGCGUAGAUAUAUGGAGGAACACCAGUGGCGAAGGCGGCUCUCUGGUCUGUAACUGACGCUGAGGCUC